Molecule: ribosomal RNA, 301 nt
Filed under: uncultured bacterium
Lineage: Bacteria
Description: partial 16S ribosomal RNA
Rfam family: Bacterial small subunit ribosomal RNA
Source: RNAcentral
CAGCAGCCACGGUAAUACAGAGGAUGCAAGCGUUAUCCGGAAUGAUUGGGCGUAAAGCGUCUGUAGGUGGCUUUUCAAGUCCGCCGUCAAAUCCCAGGGCUCAACCCUGGACAGGCGGUGGAAACUACCAAGCUGGAGUACGGUAGGGGCAGAGGGAAUUUCCAGUGGAGCGGUGAAAUGCGUUGAGAUCGAAAAGAACACCAACAGCGAAAGCACUCUGCUGGGACGACACUGACACUAAGAGACGAAAGCUAGGGGAGCAAAUGGGAUUAGAUACCCGCGUAGUCCCUGUCUCUUAUAC